CAAUAGCGUAUAUUUAAGUUGUUGCAGUUAAAAAGCUCGUAGUUGGAUUUCGGUUAAGAGCGACCGGUCCGCCGUUUGGUGUGCACUGGUUGGUUUUAACUUCCUGUAGAGGACGUGCUCUGGGUUUAACGACCUGGACUCGGAGUCUACGUGGUUACUUUGAAAAAAUUAGAGUGUUCAAAGCGGGCUUACGCUUGAAUGUUUCAGCAUGGAAUAACACUAUAGGACUCCUGUCCUAUUUCGUUGGUCUCGGGACGGGAGUAAUGAUUAAGAGGAACAGUUGGGGGCAUUCGUAUUUCAUUGUCAGAGGUGAAAUUCUUGGAUUUAUGAAAGACGAACUUCUGCGAAAGCAUUUGCCAAGGAUGUUUUCAUUAA
This 375-nucleotide ribosomal RNA is filed under the name uncultured eukaryote. RNAcentral's name for it is "partial 18S ribosomal RNA". It matches the Rfam family "Eukaryotic small subunit ribosomal RNA", at positions 592 to 976 of the family's 1831-position model. The record is from RNAcentral.